Molecule: long non-coding RNA, 1358 nt
Organism: Rosa rugosa (rugosa rose)
Lineage: Eukaryota; Viridiplantae; Streptophyta; Magnoliopsida; Rosales; Rosaceae
Exons: 3
Source: RefSeq, a predicted model, not a curated record
ACACACUCUUCCCUCAGCCGAACUCUCUUUCCCCAACCUCUCGCACUCUCUCUCUCCUUCCCUCUGCAACCGCCAGAAACACAGCGUCUGACCACCACCACCAAUCAACAUAGCACCUAAAUCCGACCAAAACCUGAGCCCAGCACCGCUAUGCGUCAACUCUGGCCCCCGCACACGACCAUCUGAACUGCAGCACCACUGUCGCUACCUCUCUCUGAUUUUUGGCUACCACCUCGCCUCACUGCCUCCCUAGUUCGAUCCAGCUCUCAAAACCGACCCAAACCCAGUCGAAAUCACAACCAUGCAUCAAACCGAGCCGCCGCCUCUACACCCCAGAACAGCCGCGUCGUCUCUCAUCGGAGACGGCAUUCUCCGAUCAUUUCCUUACCACACCAUCACCACAGCUCCACUCAGCAAGCAACAAAGACAAAAACCCAGAAGUCUCGGCACCCACCAAGCCCGGACAACACCGUACGAGCAAAUCCGGAAUCUCGGCUUCUGCUGAGAUCGAUUCAUCUUUUCCGGCCUCGUCAGAACGCCUCCGCCACUAAGACUAGGACCAGCAUGACCUAAUCUACCCACCUGCAAGGCUCCGAAGUCUGGCACGGCUCAGAACCACUUCACGCGCGCUUGAGACACCCUAGCGCCGCCGCCGAGUUUCUAGGCCGACAGUUAGGUAAUUUUCGUGUUCCCCUCUAUGGUUAAAGCUUUUGGUUUUAGCAUAAUGAAAUUCCUAAUUAAUGUGUCGUUGAAUUUGGAGUAUUUGAGGAUUAUGAAUCUGCGAUAUCAAGCUUUGGAGAAGAGAGGAGCUAUUGGGAUGGUUUCGAUUGAAAUCGAAUAAGAGGUCCGAAUGAGUUGGUAGUGGUGGACUGCAGCAACUAGAAUUAGCCUCUGGUUGGGGAAAAGAAGAAAGGUACUUGGAAUAAAUGAGCUGAAAUGAGCUCAUAAAUGGAAAGAGGAGCUAGAGAACGUUGGAGGGAAACAAGAUGAGAUACAAAGGGAUGCACAAAUGAGCAGAAUUGAAGAAAAGAAGUUUUCCUGUUUCAACCAGGAAAUCCUGUCCAGGAAAGGAAAUGACUCCUAGGCUGUCCAAGAAGUGUGAUCGAAAAUAUUGAAGUGUCAUGAUGUUGAGAAGCUUCUUGAAGACAUUAGAAGAUGACAUGGCUUGAAGGUGACGCAUAAAGGCCCAAAAACUCUCAAGAGAAGUUGGAUUUUCGGCAAAAUGGAUAAAGGCCCAUGGAAAUUAGGGUUUGUGACGUAAUGGAGAUAUUUUUGGAGGAAUUAAAUCUGAUUUUGCCGUGGGAAAUCAUGAAGAUAAUGUGAAAAAUCAAGAAGAAAUCAAGGAAAAACGUUGGAGA